This 1451-nucleotide long non-coding RNA is filed under the name Heterocephalus glaber (naked mole-rat). RNAcentral describes it as "lncRNA (ENSHGLG00100048913.1)". The record is from RNAcentral. Lineage: Eukaryota; Metazoa; Chordata; Mammalia; Rodentia; Bathyergidae.
CCAUUAUCUGAUUUUCUGUUUGGGUGACACAAUUGCUUAUUUGACAAUUGAAGUAAAUUACAUUAUAAUAAUCAUAAUCUUUCUGAACACUAAUAUUUCCUACAAGUAAUACCUAAGAGCACAUGACAUAUGCAGUGACAUUUCUUUUGGGAUGACAAGAAUUUUCAGACCAGUCCAAAACAUAAGUAUCAAGUCCAGUAAUAUUAUAUCUCACAGAGGCAUCCGCCACACAUCUCUUCCAUGGAAUAGUCUUAUUGGAGCAUUAAAAGUCUGAGGCACUACACCAGUGGUCUCUAUACCCACAGGUAGAUGUAGAUGGACUCCAGUGAUCCCGCCUUUGCAUUGAUCUACCUGCCUUCCUGUCAGGGUGCGAGCGCUCAGUCUUAUACAAUCAGUUCUGUUGAUUUUGAAGAAACAUAUGGGGGUUCCGGUUUCUGAUCCCGUAUAGUUGAACAAUAGGACCUCGUUCUUGUCAGGUGCCGCCGUCUCAUCCAACAGCCUGGUAUUGUUCACCCAUACCAUUACUUCUCCAUUUUUUGAGCUCAUUGGAUGUACAACAGGUGGAUCAGGUACAUAAGUCCAAUAAACCUUCUCAUUCAGCGUCAUCAUUAGAUUUAUCAGCAGGACAGUUGUCAGGAUCAUCCUAAGGGGCAGGAGAAUUUCCCGCAAAACGGACUCAUCUUUCAGGCAGCCACCUGGCACCUUCAGCGUCCUGCGGGAAAACACAAACAUGCCCUCGUCCCCAUAUUAAUACCAGGUCGGGGCCACUCCAUACACCCGUGAGGGGAUCUUUCCACCUCACUUGAGCAUAUGAUGAUUUAGUUUUAGGAUGCCACAGCCUUUCUGCUGCAGUCAAUCCAUAAGCAUCCACAAUUUCCCUUUGCCAGGGGUCCAGGAAGCCCAGAAUGAGCGCUAAUGUGACCCACAUAACAAGGACAGGUGCAGGCAUGUAUGCACCAUUGUAUCUGAGCAAAGUAAUUGAUUGGCGAGGUCUGCAUAUUGCCCUUCUCCUGCCAGCAUGUCAUAAUCAGUACCAUUUCUAUUAGCCCAAUUUAAUUCAGCUGUUCUUUAACACUGCUUGGAAAAUUCUGUUUUCCAAAGGAGGUAAUCUCCCCCAGACAGGCAUGCUUUAGCAAGCUGUUUCCAAUCUCCAGGAGGCAGCGCCUCUGUGCUCAACGAUUCUAACGUAGCCUGAGUAAAAGACGCCGAAUCAGCCCGCUGCAGACAGGCAGGUCUGUGCACGCCCUACCAAGGUCCUGAGUCACGUGGAAGACACCGAAUCACCCCACUGCAGACACGCAGCCACCUGAUUCCACAUUACCAAGGCGCAGAGGACACCAGACCACCAGACCAAGGUACUGAGUCCCACUGUUCCCGGCCCAGAGGUAGGGGCUUCUGAGCCGUCGUCCCACUGCUCCUGGUCCAGAGGAAGGGGCUUCCCGGUCCCCAUC